GAUUCAGACGGCUUGUCUUUGUCCGUCACUACGAUCACUCAUGCCAAAUAGACCAUAUGUAAACAGACAAUGUGAUGUUAGAGAUCAAUCGAUUGCAGUGCGUUGGAUGAUUGAAGAACGCCACAAUCCAUCUGACUUUUAUCAUGGGUUAAUGUACAGGAAGCUGAGAAAAUUGUUGAUGUUGAUGUGAAUUAUCCGAAACUGGACUAAAUUGACUUUAAAAAAACAAAUGUGUCUGUGUGUGCGUGUGUGUCUAGGUAUUUUUAUAAUUUCAAGGGAUUCCAAAUUUAGAACCGCCGUGUAACAUUCACAAUUAAGAUUUUUCUCUGUCACAGUUCACGUGAGACGACAGCUUCAAGUGACACUCUUGUCUGAUCAAUACAAAGAUGGAACAUUAUAGUUAUCAUCUGUUACUAAAUGUAUAGAAUUAAUAAAGUCUUAGAUAUAAGAUACUUAUUAAAUUCUGAAUAAAAUCUAACGACAUGAAACCAACUCAUAAGAAUUUGAUCAUUUCGACAGCGGUAUUUGAGACUCUGUUCUUAUUGCUUCCAUUGUGUCAUGUCUUUUGUCUAUCUCAAAGUGAUUGCCCUCCUAUAACGCAGUGCAUACCACAGCUCAGUUUGGUAGAGACAGUAAUGGCGGCACCUACUACUUCUACCUCUACAAAGGCUACUCCCACAUCAUCUUCCUCCCAGAAAACUUCAUCAACCUCAAUAAUAAUCACAUCGUCUACAUUAUCAACCAUGUCCACAACAUCCAGGACUUCCACCAGUUCGUCCAGACCAUCAAACGUGACAACUUCUCGGACAACAGCAUCGACUGUCUCUGUCCAUACAACGCAAUCAACUCGCCCUAAUGCAUCGUCAUUGCAACCGUCAACAGCCAGUGUCUUGACAGGGACAUCCACUCUCUCAAUUCUAUUAACAGAACCGACUCUCAAAGACAAUAUCACGUCACCACCAUGCUUUCCAACAGACAGUCCCUUGAAUUGCAGUUUCCCAAUCAAUGACAAACAAGUACAAAGCAAUGAAACCAACUUAAUUAUAGGACUUACAAUCGCUUUGUGCCUCUCUGCCAUUAUUACAUUAAUGAUCGUCUGCUUUGUGCGGCGAUUACGUGCUCAAAGAAAUGCCCGCCGUGGGGUUAAAAAUAACUCUGACAUCUUUAACCAAUCAGAAAAAGAUACACGAUCCAGUGUGUAUUGUAACAGUUUCAUAAAAAGGGACGUCAUUUUACCCGUACUAAAUAGUUCGACAGAUCUCAAAUCAGUUCCUUUAAAAAAAGUAGAUACUGCAUCAAUCAUUUAUAGUCAAGUAUCAAAGAAGACAUUAGACCAUAAAGGCAGCCAUGACAAUUUUAAUGUCUCUAGUGAAAUCUACACUGAAGCCGCACCAGAUGGGGCUGAUACCAAAUUAUCAGGAACCUAUUAUGUGCUUGAACAAGAUACUAACUACACAGAUGGAGAGUAUAUAAACUCAAACUCUAUUCAAAAAGAGAGUUCUUCAAUAGACAAAGAAAAAGGAAGGGUCAACAUCAAUCAAGAGUAUAUCAACUCAGAAUCUCUCAAGAAAGAGAUUUCUUUAGUACACAGAGAAGAAGAAAUAAACACAGCAUUAUAUAAAAACAUACAUAAAGAGGAGAAUUUGCUAGCGAUUGAAAACUCUAGACUUGCAGACGAUCGAAAUGGAAAGAGCCUACCCCAAAUUGUCAUGGCAGAUCCACGAUACUGGAAUCAAACAGGAAAUGAUGAUAUUGAAAGAAGUUCAGUAAUAUUGGAUUCAGAAGACAAGAAUGAAAGAAAAUAUCCAGAAAUACACGUCACUGAAGAUUGUUAUAUUAAUGUUCACCAUGAUAAAUCAGCUGCAACCCCAGACAAUUCAGUUUUAAACAGUGUUUUAAAAACAAGAGACACAUAUGCCAAUGGAAAACUUUUACAGAAAGAUUUGGCUCAAAUGGAUUACUCUAAUGAUGGUAGCCAAUGGGAAUCUGGUAGUAGAAAUCCAAGUGACAAUUAUGCUAAACUACGAGACGUCACUAAACCGUCUAGCGACGACUACGGCCCAAUAAUGCCAAAAGAACUCGACAACAUUAAAUAGCUUCUAAUAAUAUUAAAAGAAGGCUUGGAGAUUAAGCAUUUAUGGACUUACUUAGACUUAGGUCCUCCCGCGUCGUUCGGCGCAUUGGGCGGCAAGCUGUCUCCAUAAAGAUCUGUCAUUGGUAAUGUCUGAAGCCUCCUCCCACCUGGUGUCCACUGUUCUGACGUCCUCUAUGAAGGUGUGUCGCCAAGUAAUACGGGGGCGUCCCUGUUUGCGCUUUCCUCGUAUUGGCUUCCACGUUAUCGCAACUCUUGGUGUGCGUAAUUCAUUUUGACGUAGAACAUGUCCCGCAAACCUCAUGCAUUCGACUCCAAGUUCCGCAUAGGAUUUCCUUGUUUGAGACUCGAUCUGUGUAACUGAAUCCCAAAAUCCGUCUCAGCCAUUUUUGUUGAGGCACAUUUAGUCUUUUCUCGAUUUGGACAGAUGACUUCCAUGUCUCACAUGCAUAAGUAGCAGUUGGAAUGACGAUUGUGUUGAGAAGGUGUAUUUUUGUCUCGAGUCCAAUGGCUUGGCUAGUCCAAAUAGGCUGCAGCCUUUGGAAAAUGCUUCCUACCUUUCCUUGCAUUUAUGGAAGUUAUCUAAAAUAAAAAUGUAUAUCAACCGAGGGGAUUAUGACAACUGACGUCACAGAUACCUUCGAGACCGUUAACAUUCCUAAAAUGAUUCUCGUUGCCUGUCAUAGGGCGGUACUGCUGCAGACCUGCCCCAUCACCAAAAAAUUCCUCAGUGGACACUGAUAAAGGGACUACAGUGAACCUUGUUUCUCUUGAAAGAAACUCGACCCUGGCAGCGCCAGAGAAUAGAAUACUCGUUCGUUUCUAACAUAAUAAUAAUCUUUAUUGUCAAUUAGAAAAUGUGUCUGACUAUAGACCAAAAAAAACAAACAUCAUUUUAACUAUAGAAAAUAAAAUAGACAUCAAAUUUUACUGCCUGGUGUAACACAAAGGUUAGGACAAAUGUUAGGCUCAAAUAACUGGCUGUAGCCAGCACAACACUGUUUGCCUGCCUGCUAAUAUGAGCUGAUGCGGGGUGGGGGCGGCUCUGUGCGCUACAUCUAACUCCACCCCCUGACCUUGAUACUCGUUCAAGCGAAUAGUUUUCACUAAUUUUUCGUUUGUGGCAAUUCAGAAUAUUUAAAAAAAAAUGUUUUGUUUCAUUUAUGUUAAUAUUCUUCCUGGUAGAAAAGUGGAUGAACUUUAACCUGUUAGUUAGACCAAGUUUUCAUUGUGUUACAGCAGAGGUAGGCAAAUUACGUCCCGCGGGCCACAUGCGGCCCGCCGAAGCGUUUUAUGCUGCCCGCGAACACCUAAAGAAAUCAGGUGUGUCCACACAUUACACAAAUAUAAAAAUGCAAAUAUAUUAAAAAUAAAUAAUUGUAAAUAUCUUUAAUUUAUUAAAACUUUUGAUUCUAAUCACUUAUAAUGAAGAAGCUAAAGAAACAAUGUCUCUAAAUGUUAUUCUAAUAAGUUUAUAAAGUAAAUGAAGAUUAUUUUAAAUUUCAAUAAUUCGGGAAAUUCAGUCAUAGACACAAGUUCAAGCCAGUAUGUAUUCAAUGUUAUGAAGAAAAGUUGAAAGAGUUGGGCUGGCUUGUACAAGAUGGCAAGGGUAACAACUGAUGGAGCCCCUUGCUUAGACUGAUAAAAAGAGGCUUUUUAAUAAAAUAAAGACAAAUUUCCCAACCAUAAACUAAUAACGCGAAAGUUUACACAAAGCUGCAUUGAAUACCAAGUUUAAAGGGAUAUAUCCCAUUUACACAAUUUAGGCAAACUGUGCAGCUGCUGGCCUCGCAUAAGACCUCUUAUUACAUCAAAUUUAGAGAGGAAAUAGCGAAACCCUGUUAUUGUUGAAGUACACUAGGUUUUAAAAAAAGGCAUACUUUUAGACUUUUUGAAGUUAUAUUUUAUUUUUCUAUUUUAUUUGGUGCUACCAAAUUCACUUUGCCUAGGGCCUCCAAUCAACUAAGGCCGGCCCUGGCUGGCUAUUCGGUAACACAGUAGAAUCCACUGGCCUAGCAUUAGAAUAAUAUGGAAUCUCAAUGAAGAAAUUGUUAGGCUUCUUGAAGAACUGUGUUUCUAAUAUUUCUAAUGAAGAGCUGAAGACUUCAUGUUUAUCAUCGCAAGCAUGUGCAUCCUAAAUCUUUGCAAACAAAGCUAUUCCAUUUCUUGAGGCCAGCAAGUGAAAUCAGGUCUUCUUAUUUUCAUUGGUGAAGGUGAAACCAUUUACCGUGAAAUGGUUGAAAAGUACAAGACUUAUUUGGAUUCCUUGAUUGUGGAAUUUGAAAGCCAAUUUUGAGACGUCAAGAACUUGGAACCAGUUUUCAAUACCCUCAGUCAAAAACCUCUAAGCAAAUUAUGAUCUGAAAAGGAAGUUCCAGGCAGCUCUUUCGCGGGAAUUAAAAAAAAAAACUUUGCUGAUUAACUUUCACAUUAUUUGGCAAAGCAUGUAGGUCACAGCUGGGGUUGCGGAGCCACGCGAAGUACUGCAUUCCUCACUGAUCUGCGGACUCUAAGACAAGUCUUAUUAUUAGUAUAUGACUGAGUCAUAAACAUCCAGAGAGACAACGAAAUUAGAAAGAUGGUUGAGUAGCUUUUUACUUAAUUGUUAUACUCUCAUAGCGACAAUGAACAAACAACAUGGCAUUCUUGGUCAUGGCAAUACCCUUGUGUACUUGCGAGCGUGAACGUAGCGAUGGAAUGGAGAUGUUACAGAAACGAUCUACCUAACACAUACAGAGACCGCAUAAAAGAGAGGUAAUAGAUAGAGAGAUCACAAUGGCGAUUUGGUCCAAGAUGACCUUCUGACCAUAGUAAAAAAAAACGCAUACUAAAACUGUACGGCUAUAUCACGAGAUCCUCAAGCUUCGUAAAGACCGGAAGAGAACAGUGCCAUGAAUAGAAGGAGAACCGCCAGAAAAAGUGAUGGUAAGACAGGAUAUGGUAAGACAGGAUAUGGCAAGACAAUGUGUGGUAAAACAGGGUAUGGCGUCUAAUCCUGGCAAAAGACAGAGAAGAAUGGAUGAAGAGACAGGCCAUGCGUGGUGCCUCAACGGCCCAACAGACUAAGGCAGUGUUUCUCAAACCUUUUCCUGUAGAGAACGUUUCGCACAUUCUGAGUAGGAUAUUUAGCGGAACACUUUGCUAUUUUUUUUAGACCUAUUAAUUUAAUUAUAAUUAAUUUUUAGACAGAUAAAUUAAAAUGGUGGCCUACUAGUUAAUUAUUCCUGUAGUUUAUGAAACACCUAUUCAAGACUUGCGUAACAUCAGCGAAAAAAAAUGUUUGGGAUACACUGGACUAGUUGGGUGUGGCCCACUGAGUCAAAAAGUAAACCUAAACCUGAACUCGAUCUAAAUUAAAAGAACCAGGCUUUAGUAUUAGUCACGUGACAAGAAACUUUCUCUGCAGUGUGAUGAACAUGUCGAUGUUAUCACGUGACCACUCUGGAGGCCCAUCGAAAGAAAAACGAAUAUUUUGAACAUCUGGAUUGUCAUGGUAGACAUUGACAUAGACGCCUCUGGCGGGGUGCUGUUGAGCCGAUGCUUCUUGUCUCAGUCAGACCUUGUUUUUAUUUUUAACACUUCCUCUAUUCAGCUUGCAAAUGUAUGUAAACUGGGAAAAACUGGGCACAGAUCUCGAAGGCGACAAAAAAUGAUAUUUAUGUGAUACUUAAAGCUUAUUCUUGAAACGAUCCGGUCUAAAGAAAAUACAUUUCCUUACGAAGUUCUUUCUUGUGUGUCAUAUACAAUCUUCAUCUUUUUCGCCUGACACCAUGUUUUUUUUUUGUUCUGUACUAAUCCCCAGAUUUGAAAAUUUGCUUUCAACAAAGGUAAUACUGGCUUCAGCGAUGUCCUCCAGACUAGUAGUUAAAAAUGUCUUUUUAACUAAAUUAAUGCUUUUAGUAUCUAUUAGUUUGGAUCAGUCAUGUAAUGUUUUUGUAAUAGAUCUAGACCAGGGGUGGGCAACAUUUUUGUAUCGAGGGCCGCAUUAAAAAAAGUUUGGUAAUGGCGGCCGCAUAUAUAUAUAUAUAUUUAUGUGUGUGUACCCAAAUAGUGUGAACAGCAGCAAAGUUUUUUAUAAUGUGGACAUACAGCUUCUGGCACCCAUAAAACUACCGUGGUAGUGAUGACUGGAACUUCUCUUUGCUUUCAGUUAUGUCCUCUGGAGCUGAAUCGGCUUCUCUUAAUAAGUGUUGUACUUUAAAUCCUUUUUCACUCAAUUUUGUUUCACCUUUCAGCAAAGGAAAAUGACAAAAAACUAUUUCUUUUGCUUGCUUGUAGAAAUGGGGAAAGUCUGAUUUGUAAAGAUGUAACAUGCAUUUACAUUUCAUAUACAAACAAUCAAUUGCAAUAGCAAUUAUGAAAAAAACAUAAAAUUUGUCUUCAACUCAUCAUUACAAAUAUUGGUAACAAAGUCACAGUCAAUGUCCAUCAAUUAACAUAACAAUUUCAUCAUUGAGAUUUUAUAUUCUUCUCCUUUGCCUUGCCCAUACUAAGCUAGCGGAUGCAUUGGAUUAUUUAUUCAUAAAUCAGCACUAAUAAGUAAUAUUGCUAUCGCAUUUCACAAGACUAAUUGUUUCAAUUAUAAGCAGCUUUGUGCAAACUUUCCUGUUUCAAGUUUAUGCUUUCAGUCUAAAAUCGACCUCCAUCAGUUGUUACACUUGCCAUCUUGUUCCAAGCCUACCCAACACUCAGAGAUUGUGUCUUGAAUUGAGUGUAUUGAUGUAUAGCCAAUAAGCAUAAUCUUCGUUUACUUAAAACUUUUUAUAAUGAGACAGUUUCAAUAACUAACAUAAUAACUAACAAUACCAACGUGGAUUGCACCAGAAUGUGGAAAUUAAUUACGGAGAGAAAGAGUUAAGUUAAAUUUUACCUUCUCCCUGAAUACACUUGGUGAUGAAUGAAUCGAACAUCAAUGUAAGAAUUUACUACAAACUAUAUUUCCAAGUAUAUUAUACAAUUUAUAAAAUAAUCUUUUUACGAAAAGAUAGGAACCUGCCGAGUUCUACUACAAUUAGCAAUUUUUUGGGGGGCUGGUGUAAAUAGCAAUUUUUUAUAAAAAGGUUUGUAAAAAAGAAUGCCUAGAAACUUCAACUUCCUAAUACCAUAAAGAGUUAUAUAUCAAUUACUUACAGUGGUUUCCCAUUCCUACACGACCAUAGAGUUAAAUUACCGCCAAGUUAUUUAAAUCCUGCUGCGGCCGGUAGUGUGAGGAGUCAGCUCUGUUGCUUGAGAGGAACCAAGUGUUGGGUUUAUAUUUUUUGUUCUUUACAAUUAUUUAUGUGAUAUAUGAAUAAAUUUACAAUUUACAUUUCAACAAUGCUGCAAUAUAUAUUUUCAAGUCUUGUAUGUAUUCAUCUUGUAUUGUCACACUACUGUUCAGCAGAAGAUUGCAGAUAUCAAUUAUUAUUGCCAAGCUCUUGCUAUAUAGAUAAUAGAUCACUUUCAGAUGUCAGCCUACCUUGUACACUUGAAACAUGUAGCAAUGCAGAGUACACGUGUGCCUAUAACGGAACUGGACAAGACUUCAGUUAUUUAGUUUUUUAUUGUAAUUCAAUUAAAGCUAACAGCGAAAGGUUGAAUUGUACAUUUCGUAGAACAUCAUGGAUAUUAUAUAAUAACAUUACAGCCUUGUUUAAUGUUUGUUUGAUUAAUGAAGCAACCUGUAACAUACCUAAACAGUAUCUGGCUAAUUGUGCUUUAAACAGUUUUAGUACUAAUACCACUCAUGCAUCUACUAGCGCAUCUACAGCUAUUUCCGUAGUAACGACAACGAAAAUCACCACAUCAUUGGCCACUAGUCCACCCACACCAUCACCUCUUAGCACAUCAACAACCAGAGCAACAACAACUGAAUGGGUUAAAACUACAUCGCUCGAGUCAGCCACAACAGCAACCAAUAUUUUUUCAGCGUCUCCCACAAAAAAUGCGAGUCAGUCAGUCAGUCAGUCAGACAUUAGCACUAUCCAUGUCUCAUCACAUUCAGACACACAAGAAGCAACUGAAAACAACAAACUUAUAAUAGGAUUACCAGUAGCUUUUGGCAUAGCAUUUCUUAUAUUAACUCUUGUCUUUAUUGUAGCAUUCGUGCAUGAUAAGAGAAACAAAUCUAGAUCUAGAAAGAAAAUGAAUGCGUUAAAUACACAGUUGAAUCUUAGAUCAUCUCAGACUUCUAUACUUGCAAUAACAGAAACAAAUUCAGAUCCAUGUAGUCAAGGAUAUACUGUAGAUUAUGCUAAUCAUCAGGCUGAACACAAAACUCAAAAUGAUGGUUUAUCAGUAUAUACCAAUGAAAAUAGUCUCUCGAGCAAUUAUUCUAGAGUCAUUGGUACACCAAAAGGAGUGACCCUUAAUAAAACAAUGACGCAUUCAGAGCCUCUGUUAGUACAAUACUCAAUGGUUAAAAAAACACACAAUAAUGUUGGUAGUGCAGGUAACCCAUCUGUUCAGCCAGGUUACGUCAGUAACAACCUGUACGGCAAAAGCGGAAGUAAGUUACUGACAGAGAAUGACACGACAUAUCACGAAACGAAAACUGAAGCCCAGACACAAGUGAAUUACUCGAAACUUUUUGAAGUGUCAAGAGAAACUUCUUCAGAAUAUGCUGCAGUUUGUAAUGUCAAACAUAUAGACAACCAGUCAGUUCAUCUGUAAUAGAGUUAGAAGAAGUCGGUUCCUCUACAAUAUCUUUAGACAAGCAGUCAGUUCCUGUAUAAUUGCUUUAGUUCUUCUAUAAAAGCGUUAGAUAAGCAGUCAGUUAAUAUAUAAUAAACGAUUGAAAAGCAGUCAAUUCCUCUUUUUACUGCACAUUCUGACUCAAAUUUUGUUGUCAACAUUUUACAACUUUUCUAAAGAAAGACGCUUUACAAUUUUAAACACUGUAUCGUUGUAAAGAGGAAAACAAGAACUAUCUAGCACAUGAUUAAUAUAAAUCACAUCAUUCAUAUAAGUCACAUCAUUUAUAUAAGUCAUAUCAUUUAUAUAAGUCACAUCAUUCAUAUAAGUCACAUCAUUCAUAUAAGUAACAUUAUUCAUAUAAGUCACAUCAUUAAUAUAAGUCACAUCAUUUAUAUAAGUCACAUCAUUUAUAUAAGUCACCUCAUUUAUAUAAGUCACAUCAUUAAUAUAAGUCACAUCAUUCAUAUAAAUCACAUCAUUCAUAUAAGUCACAUCAUUCAUAUAAGUCACAUCAUUCAUAUAAAUCACAUCAUUCAUAUAAGUAACAUCAUUAAUAUAAGUCACAUCAUUAAUAUAAGUCACACCAUUUAUGUAAGUCACAUCAUUAAUAUAAGUCACACCAUUCAUAUAAGUCACCUCAUUAAUAUAAGUCACACCAUUCAUAUAAGUCACAUCAUUUAUGUAAGUCACAUCAUUAGCAUAAGCCACAUCUUUAAUAUAAGUCACAUCAUUAAUAUAAGUCACAUCAUUAAUAUAAGUCACACCAUUCAUAUAAGUCACCUCAUUAAUAUAAGUCACACCAUUCAUAUAAGUCACAUCAUUUAUUUAAGUCACAUCAUUAGCAUAAGCCACAUCUUUAAUAUAAGUCACAUCAUUAAUAUAAGUCACAUCAUUAAUAUAAGUCACACCAUUCAUAUAAGUCACAUCAUUAAUAUAAGUCACACCAUUCAUAUAAGUCAAAUUAUUAAUAUAAGUCACACCAUUCAUAUAAGUCACAUCAUUAAUAUAAGUCACACCAUUCAUAUAAGUCACAUCAUUAAUAUAAGUCACGUAAUUUAUAUAAGUGUUAUAAGCCUUUGUUCUCUACUCAUUUUCAGUCCUUUUUGUUUUGAUAAUCUUGUAACUUCUAAUAUCCAUUUUGGAAAUAAUUGGAGGAUAUAACUCCUCAUUUGUUUACAACACAAAAAUAGCAUAGUGUACCUUUUUUUAUGUCUAUAAAAGUAUGGCGACAAAUUGCUGUGACAGUAACACUGUAACACUGUUACAUCGAUAAUUAUUAAUGCCCACAUUCUUUUAGCACUUAAUUCUGUGAAGACAUAAUCGUUGUAUUUCGUUUAUUUAUUAUAAAAUAUGAAUUGCAAAAAUGUAUGUUUAGCCUUUAUGAAAAGCACUUAUUGUUUAAAAGCUUUUAUUAUCGAUCACACUAGUCCUCUGAAAAAGCAUAUAUAGUUUAUUGAAUAAAUUAUGUAACAAAAUAAAGAUAUACGAUCAUAUUUAUGCAAGAAUGUCAUACUAUUGAACGUGUCAAGACCUAUAAAGAUAUUUUAGUUUUUCAUUGAACAAUUCAAAGAUCAGCGCUUCUAUUAUUACUACUAUUAUUAAAGCCAUGUUUUUAUCAAUAAAAUUUCAAAAGUAUUUGUUGGAAAGAAUAUAUAUAUCAUUAUAAGCUUGAAAAUAAAAAAGAACAGAUUAUCCUUUAGUAUUUUCCGACCAUUUCUUAAAAAAAUUAAAAUUAUGCUCAAGUUUCAACUAUCGUUAUUUAUUUUGUUUUGCGUAAAAUUUGGUUAU
RNA transcript from Biomphalaria glabrata, 10555 nucleotides. RefSeq lists it as uncharacterized. NCBI's taxonomy places the organism in Eukaryota, Metazoa, Mollusca, Gastropoda, Planorbidae. The transcript has 5 exons. The record is from RefSeq and is a predicted model, not a curated record.